Non-coding RNA from Trichonephila clavipes, 73 nucleotides. NCBI's taxonomy places the organism in Eukaryota, Metazoa, Arthropoda, Arachnida, Araneae, Nephilidae. The record is from the annotation of a GenBank genome assembly.
GGGGUGUAUAGCUCUGUGGUGGAGCAUUCGACUGCAGAUCGAGAAGUAUUCGGUUCAAACCUGGAUGCCCUCU